This 266-nucleotide signal recognition particle RNA is filed under the name Bacillus sp. (in: firmicutes). Its description in RNAcentral is "signal recognition particle sRNA large type". It matches the Rfam family "Bacterial large signal recognition particle RNA". From Rfam's summary of the family: The signal recognition particle (SRP) is a universally conserved ribonucleoprotein involved in the co-translational targeting of proteins to membranes. Lineage: Bacteria; Bacillati; Bacillota; Bacilli; Caryophanales; Bacillaceae. The record is from RNAcentral. RNAcentral also lists the same sequence under 2 other names.
CCGUGCUAGACGGGGAGGUAGCGGUGCCCUGUAACCCGCAAUCCGCUGUAGCGGGGUCGAUGCCUGUUAGCGGUGCCGUCUAUUCGGGGCCUGACCUCUGCACGUAGUGUUGACAAUCGGGUCUUGCGCAACAGACGGCCGUGAACCCCGUCAGGUCCGGGAGGAAGCAGCGGUAAGCGGUUUGGUCUGUGUGCCGCAAGGUCACCUGGUUCGAGCUGGCGACAGGGGUAACGCCCGGAUAGGGGGUAUCAAUAACAGGUGCACGG